CUUUGGUUGUCUGUUUCCUCAUUGUAGCAUUUGCUGUCUUAACAGGACUUUUGGUGUGGAAGAAAAAGAAAGGAUAUCCCCAAGACACCUGGAUCGACUUUUUGAGAAAGUAUUUUGGUGGAAUGUUUGGGGAUGCAGGCAACAAUCAGAAUUCUGUUGCCCCGGAUACUGUUUAUCACACUGUAGGGGAUGUUCAGGUCACCAACCUUGGAGCUUCAGGGGUUCUCUCUGGGGUUUCCAUGGAUACAGUUUACAGCGCUGUAGGAGAGAAGUCUUCCAGAGAUUACUCCAUGAAUCAGAAUAAUAACAAUCCCACUAACACAGGUAGUAACACUAACACACCUUUUACAUGGUACUUCUAUGGGGKCAUUUUGACAAUGCAGAUAUGUGGAGAUGUUGCCAGAAAUGUGUUUCUCAUAUUAUUUGUGGUGGCAUUUAUUUGAAGAACAUGUUUUAGUGACGUCUACAUACAGUAUGAGAAGGUGAUUACUAAUGUGAGUUUAAAGUUAGUGUGUGGGCUGGCAAAUAUAAAAUGUGUAUUAUGCAGUUGGAAUCUGCUUUAAAUUUAUUUUACCUUUAUUUAACUAGGC
Molecule: long non-coding RNA, 590 nt
Organism: Salvelinus sp. IW2-2015
Lineage: Eukaryota; Metazoa; Chordata; Actinopteri; Salmoniformes; Salmonidae
Source: RefSeq, a predicted model, not a curated record